RNAcentral lists this ribosomal RNA (253 nucleotides) under uncultured bacterium. Its description in RNAcentral is "partial 16S ribosomal RNA". It matches the Rfam family "Bacterial small subunit ribosomal RNA", at positions 524 to 776 of the family's 1533-position model. The record is from RNAcentral.
UACGUAGGGUGCGAGCGUUAAUCGGAAUUACUGGGCGUAAAGCGUGCGCAGGCGGUUUUGUAAGACAGACGUGAAAGCCCCGGGCUUAACCUGGGAACGGCGUUUGUGACUGCAAGACUAGAGUAUGGCAGAGGGGGGUAGAAUUCCACGUGUAGCAGUGAAAUGCGUAGAGAUGUGGAGGAAUACCGAUGGCGAAGGCAGCCCCCUGGGUCAAUACUGACGCUCAUGCACGAAAGCGUGGGGAGCAAACAGG